AAGGACAAGACAAUUCCCUUUCAGUAAUGGAACAAUGACAGGCUCAGCAUGAUGUCAUUUGAAAGUCUUUUGUGAGAUUGUGGUCAUUUGUGCUUUCUGGAUUGGAUAAUGGCAGGAUCAUUACGACGUCAUCUGAAAGUCCUUCCCCCAAUUGCGCAGGAAGGAUGAGACAAAAACCAGGAAAAAAUAGGAGAAGGACGUCCUGUCUGAUAAUCUCCACAGACACACACUUAACAGGUAUAGAAUUUGGUUCUGUGCAUAUCUAAGCAUUAUUAAAAAUGAAGUGCACAAGCUAGAAAAAACUUGGGUGAAAUGUAACAUUGCAUGAACAGAUGGCAGCUUACACAAUGGUCCUUUUUUUACUUCCACAUGCAGUCUAUUUAGAUUGUCAGGGACAGCAGAGAGGAAUGUACUAGAUUGUGAGAGGUCUUUUACUGGAUUGUAAUGUGAGAGUUGAAUUGCUGAAACCAGUAAGAGAAGCACCACAGCUUGCUUCUGCCUGAAUGCAGGUGAAUUCCUCUCUGCCAAACAACAGUGUUCUGUAGUUUGCUUCUAAAUUCUUAUUUUUGACGUUUUGCUGGGGAGACAUUACAAGAGGUUGCAGACUGGAGGAAGAGAAAGAACAGUUCUGUUGAAUGAGAUUUCUCCCCUCAUGCAAUGAUGGAUUUCACCCAUUGGGCUCAAAUAGCUAUUGACAAAACAGAAUUUUGUCUAUUCCAGUCUUUCAGCAUAUUUUACAUUGCAAGAACGUCGCUGGAAGACAGAGAGAUCCUAACCAUGGAGAGCAAUGAUGGCAUGCGAAGGGAUAAGAAACCUUCAGCAACAAUGGAGCAUUAAGGGAGAAUUUAUCAGCUUGCAUCAGGAAGAAUUGUUGCUGUGGAUAAAAGCAAACACAAAACAAGAUGCUGUUUUUGGGGGUUCAUUGCCUAUAACAUCAAGUGUCAAGUUGUCUACUCUUCGACCUGUUGUGAAUUAUCCUCAUUAUGAAGACACAGUUUUACAAUAAGCCUUUUAAUUUAUCAUUUAGUAUUACCAAUUUUGCAGUGUACUUACACAUUGGGUAGGAUUUAAGUACAGUUAACCCACUUAGGGAGUCACAGAUCUACACUGUCCAUUUUGUUUCUGGUUUAUACCUACAGCAUAAGACCCUUAUAGGUAUGGGCCAGACCUAUGGGCCAGGAUAUCUGAAGGACAGCCUAAUAAUAUACAGUGGGUCCUUCCCUUAUGCAGGGGAUCUAUUCCAAAUUUCGUGUAUACUUGUGUGCUCGAGGCGCGUGCUCCAUCUCUUUAACUGUCACGUGGCUUCAAUGUAUGCUUGAAGCCACAUAUGGUGCACUCACAUAUAGCAUGUGUACACUGUUUAAGAAUAUUUGCAAUCUUGGAACGCUCUCCCUGAAGAGCUCCACUCAGCCCCCUCCCUGGAGUCGUUCAAGAAGAAUCUGAAGACUCAUUUAUUCCGCCAAGCUUUCUCCCACAUGUCCUGACUGUUUCCCCCAUGUACUGUGUGUAGUAUUGUUGUAUUGUAUCGCAUUGGAUUUUUAACUUUUUAGUAAUUUUGAUUGAUUCUAUGGUUUUAAUUGGGGUGUUUUA
This is a long non-coding RNA of Sceloporus undulatus (fence lizard), 1590 nucleotides long. RefSeq lists it as uncharacterized. The record is from RefSeq and is a predicted model, not a curated record. Lineage: Eukaryota; Metazoa; Chordata; Lepidosauria; Squamata; Phrynosomatidae. The transcript is spliced from 5 exons.